UCUAAAUAUCAGAAUUUAAAUCUAAAUGUAGAUUUGUGUAGAUUUGUGCAUAUAUAUAUAUAUAUUGCAUAAUAAAUAAGCAAGGCUAUGCACAAAACUUCCAGUGCAAAAUAUUGCUGAGUGAAAUAUUGCUGAGUGACUUUUCCUUUCUCUUGUGGAAAUUGUGAGAAUUGACUAGGAAUAUGUGAGAAGAUGAAGGUUUAGCCGAGUUCACAGGCCAUGAAUCUGCAGUGAAGAGCAAGCGAAAGCAAGAUCCUGGAAGAUACUGGCAAGUGGCCGGAUCACAGAAUCCAGGUAGAGUUUAUAAUUGUUUGUAGUUGAGAAAAUUGGACUAGAAUGAAGCCUUGUGGAAUCCAAGAAGAAUUCGUUAUUCUUUAGCUGCUUUCAUCUCCAACUGUGUUAGGCAUCCUCCUAAGAUGGUCCCCAAGAUGGCAGACCCCUGGAAUCAUCUGUACAAUUUCCUCUCUUUUCACAGGCUUUUAUGAGUUGAUUUUUCAGCGAACCUUCAAGGGGCUAAGGGGAACAUUACCCUUGGCCACUAUACUGCCAACAACCUAUGAGCCUGGAAGAGGAUCCCAAGUCUCAGAUGAAACCAGGACCUCAGCCAACACCUUGAUUUCAGCCUCAUGAGAUCCUAAGCAGAGGGUACAGUAAAGCCACAUAUGGUGCCUAACCAAAAAAACUAUGAGAUAAUAAAGAUGUGUUUUGGAAGCUGCUAAACUGGUGUUGAUUUGUUACAUAGCAAUUAAAAACUAAUAUACAAACACUACGGUAUUUGUUUUCUUCAUUAAUUAAACAUAACGUAUCCUCACUUCUGUAUCCAUCAGUAAGGCAAGGUUCUGUGAUAAAGACCUGCCUGCAUUGUACGUCUGUAUGGUUCCUUUCCCUAUCCCAAAUCUUAGAUGCAUAUUUUGAUUGAUGAUGAUUGUCCUUGAUCUAAGAGAUGAUGUGAUAUCCUGCUACCCCAUUCUUCAACCCCCUCAGACACUGGGAUCAUUGUAGAAUGAUUCAUAACAUUCCCUGGGACCCCAACACAUGGUGUUCUAACGUUUCUCAGUCUACAAUACAGUAGUCCCUAAAUCACAUGACAACUUUUCCUAUUGUAGAAAAAGUGCACGCAGAGGCGAUGUGGUGGCUGAUCUGCGGCAGCAGAUGAGGUCCUGUAUUCUGCUCCUGCCCCACACUGACCAGAUGCCCAUUUAGACAAGGUUUCCCCUGCUUCCACUCAUAGACACAGUUAUCUCUCAGACUCAAGGUGGCCUCCAAGUCCUUAGCAUCCACUUCUUGUAGAAGCAGUGCCUUCCCCUUUGCAGGCCAGUGACUUUUUUUAGAUUCUCAAACACAAAGUGACUGAUCAUUCACCUUUUCCUUGGCCUGAUUGACUAUAGGAAUACCAGAAUGGUGGUGGAGAGGGGUAAGGAGUUGGUGUAAUGUUUCACACCUCAAAGGUAUUC
This 1454-nucleotide long non-coding RNA is filed under the name Homo sapiens (human). RNAcentral's name for it is "HSALNT0367862". The record is from RNAcentral. Lineage: Eukaryota; Metazoa; Chordata; Mammalia; Primates; Hominidae.